ACAUUUUAGCAGAGUUCAUGCCUUUCCCACAACUCUAAUCUUGUAGCCCUUCAUUAAUCUUACAAAGGCGGUUUUCAGUCCCUGAGCAAGGAGGGGUUUAUUUUUGGGAGGGACUAUUAUCAUCCUUUAUUUCAGGUUAAACUAUAAACUAGAUUCCUGCCAAAGUUGGCUUGGUCUACGUCCAGGAAUGACAAGGACAGCUGGGAGGGCAGAAGCAAGAUGGAGUCAAUUAUGUCCAAUUUAUCUUACUGUCAUAAUUUUUCAAAGGCAGUUUCAAGGUUACUAUUCUCAUGAUUCAACACAUCCUCAAGGAGUGAGAUUCAGUCUGUGUAAGUGUAUCAUGACUUUCUAUAACACGCCUUGUCAUGCACUCUUCUACCCUGCUAGAAUUGGAGUCUGGCCUCAGCUGGUUCCUACCAGCAGUACUGCCAUCACCUCAUCCUCAUCUGCCCCAUCUGUUGUUUUGGAACCACUUGUGUCCUCUGAAAUGCAUAUGUUGAAGUCCUAACCACCUGUGCCUCAGAAUGGGACUAUGUUUGGAGAAAGGGUUUUAAAGAGGUACUUAAAGUUAAAUGAGAUCAUUACUGUGAACCCUGAUCCAAAUUGACUUAUGCCCUUAUAAGAAAAGGAAAUUUGGCCACUUACACUCACAGAGGAAGAAAUCAUUUGAAGACACAGAGAGAAGAGGGCCGAGGAGAGAGGUCUCAGAGAAACCAACCCAAUGACAUUUCGUCUUGGAUUUCCAGCCCCCAGAAUUACUGGAAAAUACAUUUUUCUUGUUUAGGCCACCCAAUCUGUACUACUUUGUUAUGGCAACCCUAGCAAACUAAUGCAGUCACCAACCCAGGGUGAAAAUGGGACAUUCCCAACUCUAGCUCUUAGGCCAAGCUUAUUUGUAAUAGAUUCUUGUUUUCAAAGGAUAUAGAUAUUGAGAUUCUCAAUGUAUUUGUUAAAAUACAUUGUUUCUUGUUAAAAGCAUAAGACUUUGAAAUGUCUCUGUGUUGCAGAUAUGUAGAUGUUCUGAGCCAUAAUUUUUGGAAAAUUCUUUCAAAGAAAAGGAAAUCUACUGGACAAAUAGCAUGAUUAAUGGGGAUCUAGUGACAAAAUAAUCUGCCCUAAUUGGAUUUGUGAUGUUUUUGCAACUUGAAAUUAGCUUCAAAAUCCAACAAUAAUACGAAAGAAUGUUCAGUAUCACGAAUCAAAUUAAAACCAUAAUUAAAUCACCUCCUUUCAUUAGGGUAGCUACUAUAAAAAAAAAGUAAAACAAAACAGAAAAUAGCAACUGUCGGCAAAGAUGUGGAGAAAUUGGAACCCUUGUGAAACCAUCCCACAGUGUUGACAAGAAUUGCAUGCUGGGUUCUGGACAGAAAUAGUUCCAAUUAAGUACUAAUCAGUCUGCACUUGGGCCCACUUACUCGUUGUUAAAAGUCAUGUAGCCCUGGAUGCUGACCAUGUACAUCUGCAUUGUUCCUAUAGAUAAGAUCUCUGACAUUAGAAUCAUAAGGCUUUUGUUUAAGGAUCACUUAUGAUGUUUUUCACACCCCAAAUUCCAGCAGCCAGUUUGAAGACUCCCACAGAGUAAUGGGAUCAAUAUGAGAAUACAGCUUCUUCAUCUCCCUAUCUCAUGACUUCACCCUCUACUCUUCCAACCAAUCAGUGAUCUCCACAUUGCAGCCCAUUCCAACACUCUUAAAAACCCCUACCCCCAAAUGCCUCAGGGAGACAGAUUUGAGGUUUCUUCUCAUCUCAUUUAGUGACCCUAUGAUUAAACCCCUUUCCUUGCUACAACCUGGUGUCUCAGCUUAUUAUUUGCUGUGUGCAUGGGGCAAUGAACCUAUUUCAGUUACACUUGUGCACUGUUGGCAAGAAGGUAAAAUGGUACAGCCACUAUGGAAAAUGGUAUGAAAGUUUCUCCAAAAAUUAAAAAUAGAAUUCUCAUGUAACCCAGCAGUCCCACUUCUGGGCAUAUAUAUCCAAAGGAAGUCAAAUUAGUAUCUCAAAGAGACCUUUGUACACCCGUGUUCAUAAUAGCA
RNAcentral lists this long non-coding RNA (2033 nucleotides) under Homo sapiens (human). RNAcentral's name for it is "non-protein coding lnc-NPBWR1-12:15". The record is from RNAcentral. Lineage: Eukaryota; Metazoa; Chordata; Mammalia; Primates; Hominidae.